Molecule: long non-coding RNA, 680 nt
Filed under: Suricata suricatta (meerkat)
Lineage: Eukaryota; Metazoa; Chordata; Mammalia; Carnivora; Herpestidae
Description: lncRNA (ENSSSUG00005003336.1)
Source: RNAcentral
GUUUCAGCCUGUGCUCUGGAACAGGAAAUCCUUUUACAGACAGUGACCCUUCAGACACUGGAUGAAGAAUCUUCAUACGCAUGGGUUCAGCCCCCAGGGGUCCAGUUCAAGAGCAAAGGACCUGAGCCCCAACCAUCAGAGGAAGGAGUUGUGGUCUGUUGCUUCAGGCGGUGGUGUGAGGACUGACCACGUGACUUUGGACGAGAAGCAGGAACUUUGUGAAGAGGCAGAGCCGUGUGGGAAGGGGUCCGAUGGACAGGAUGGAACCUCCUCCCAGCACGCCAAAUACCCGGGGCACAGGGAGCCGAGUGCAGGUUUGGAAAUGCAGGAUGAGGGUGCCCCGGGUAGAAAGGUCUGUCCCUGUGAAGAAUGCAGGAAAACCUUCCCCUGGGCAGGAGGCCCUCACGUGCACAGGAGGCCCAGCGCCGGGGAAAACCGCACUCGCGCACAGAAUGCGGAAAGGCCUUCAUCAGACGCGCAGAACUUAGCCAGCACCCGGGGCUUCGCGGCAAGGAGAAGCCUGAUCACUGUCUAGAGUGUGGCAAAGGUUUCAGGCAGAAGGCGGGCCUCUUCCAACAUCUGAGUCCAUACUGCAGAAAGGCCGUAUGGAUGUAGGAAAUGUGGUCGGUGUUUUAGUCGGAGAUCGGUUCUUACAUAGCAUCAAAGCGUCCACCCCGGAG